This 491-nucleotide ribosomal RNA is filed under the name uncultured bacterium. RNAcentral's name for it is "partial 16S ribosomal RNA". It matches the Rfam family "Bacterial small subunit ribosomal RNA", at positions 29 to 506 of the family's 1533-position model. The record is from RNAcentral.
AGUGAACGCUGGCGGUAGGCCUAACACAUGCAAGUCGAACGGCAGCACAGUAAGAGCUUGCUCUUACGGGUGGCGAGUGGCGGACGGGUGAGGAAUACAUCAGAAUCUACUUUUUCGUGGGGGAUAACGUAGGGAAACUUACGCUAAUACCGCAUACGACCUACGGGUGAAAGCAGGGGAUCUUCGGACCUUGCGCGAUUGAAUGAGCCGAUGUCGGAUUAGCUAGUUGGCGGGGUAAAGGCCCACCAAGGCGACGAUCCGUAGCUGGUCUGAGAGGAUGAUCAGCCACACUGGAACUGAGACACGGUCCAGACUCCGACGGGAGGCAGCAGUGGGGAAUAUUGGACAAUGGGCGCAAGCCUGAUCCAGCCAUACCGCGUGGGUGAAGAAGGCCUUCGGGUUGUAAAGCCCUUUUGUUGGGAAAGAAAAGCAGCAGGUUAAUACCCCGCUGUUCUGACGGUACCCAAAGAAUAAGCACCGGCUAACUUCGU